Molecule: long non-coding RNA, 1056 nt
Organism: Lathyrus oleraceus (garden pea)
Lineage: Eukaryota; Viridiplantae; Streptophyta; Magnoliopsida; Fabales; Fabaceae
Exons: 2
Source: RefSeq, a predicted model, not a curated record
GUAAAUGUUUUCACUUCUAAAAGAACUUCUCUUAAUAUAUGUUCAUAAAAUGUUUCAUGAGUGGAAUAAUACUAUUUUUAUCAAAUCCAUUUCUGCGAACAAAUGCUACAGUUUUCUUAGCAGGAACGGUGAGAUAAAACCCGCUUAAGAUAGGGAUUUAAGGGCGUGAAAUAUAACCGAGGUUUGGAUUCUCACGGUAAACAUACAAAGAUGAUUCAAACAAGUAAGCAAGCAUAGAAGGCACAAGCAAGCAAGCAUUCAUGGAGUGAUAAAUAAAGUUUGAGGAUUACCGAUCGGAGACCCUCCGAUGGUUCUUCAAUGGUGGCGCCAAUUCAAUAUAGUAAGUAAUUCUUUAAUUUGUCUUUCAUUUCUUCUUCAUCCCUUUUUUUCUUCCAUUUAUUUUCUUGUUGUUGUUGUUGAUCUUUUGGUGCUUGAAUCAUGAAAAACUAUGAAGUGAAGUAUGAUGAGGGUUUAUGCUCAAGUUGAGUGAAGUUUCAAUGUGAAGCUUUAACAACCAUGGAUUUGAGUUAUAGUGACAGAUUGAAUAAUGAAGAAAUGAAGAGUAAAAACUUGAGAGAAAGUGAAGCAUGAGUGAAAUCAAAAAGUGAAGAAGAAGCUCCUUAAUGAGUGAAUGAUUAAUGCUUAUAUAGAAUUAGGUGAGGGAUGAUUAGAGGUUUAAAAUUGAUUAGAAAUUAGUUGGGGUUGUUUUGGGCACUUUGGGCAAUUGCUCAAAGUGGUUAGAAGUUAGUUAAUGGGAGUUUAAGGUAGUUAGGAUAGUUAAAGCAUGGAUGUAUGUGAAUUUGCAUGCAUGUGCAUAUGUUGAAUUUUUAGUGAAUAUGUGGGAAAUUGAAUGAACUUACAUGAAAUCACUUGAACACAUGUUUGGGUAUUUAUAGUGUAUAAAUGAAUGACUUAUAGAUGCAUUUGGAUUGAUGUUCAUCGAUGAAAUCAUGUAUUACAUGAAUGCUGGAAAAAAAAUUAAUGCACAUGAUUUAUGAGGUUUUACUUGUUGUAUAGAAGUGAAAUGGAAGUGAUACAUAGUGUGGAAUUUAUAUU